AAUAUUGCACAAUGGAGGAAACUCUGAUGCAGCGACGCCGCGUGAACGAUGAAGGCCUUCGGGUCGUAAAGUUCUGUCCUAGGGGACGAUAAUGACGGUACCCUUGGAGGAAGUCCCUGCUAACUACGUGCCAGCAGCCGCCGUCAUACGUAGGGGGCGAGCGUUGUCCGGAAUUAGUGGGCGUAAAGGGUUCGUAGGCGAUUCUUUAAGUCAGGUGUGAAAGGUCACGGAUCAACCGUGGUAAGCACUUGAAACUGAAGGACUUGAGUUAAAGAGAGGAAAGUGGAAUUCCUAGUGUAGCGGUGAAAUGCGUAGAUAUUAGGAGGAAUACCAGUGGCGAAGGCGACUUUCUGGACUUAUACUGACGCUGAGGAACGAAAGCGUGGGGAGCAAAC
Molecule: ribosomal RNA, 395 nt
Filed under: uncultured bacterium
Lineage: Bacteria
Description: partial 16S ribosomal RNA
Rfam family: Bacterial small subunit ribosomal RNA
Source: RNAcentral